Rhineura floridana is the source of this 1275-nucleotide long non-coding RNA. RefSeq lists it as uncharacterized. The record is from RefSeq and is a predicted model, not a curated record. The transcript has 4 exons. Lineage: Eukaryota; Metazoa; Chordata; Lepidosauria; Squamata; Rhineuridae.
UGCUGAAGGGGCCAGAGACCAUCUACCUGUGUGAGUUUCUGCAAGACCUGCUCCCUGCAUUUCUGGCUGAUUUCCACCUGGCCCGGAAGGGCGGGGCCCUGUCUCUCUCCAGCUACAAAAGCAGCAACUGCUGAAGGGGCCAGAGACCAUCUACCUGUGUGAGUUUCUGCAAGACCUGCUCCCUGCAUUUCUGGCUGAUUUCCACCUGGCCUGGAAGGGCGGGGCCCUGUCUCUCUCCAGCUACAAAAGCAGCAACUGCUGAAGGGGCCAGAGACCAUCUACCUGUGUGAGUUUCUGCAAGACCUGCUCCCUGCAUUUCUGGCUGAUUUCCACCUGGCCCGGAAGGGCGGGGCCCUGUCUCUCUCCAGCUACAAAAGCAGCAACUGCUGAAGGGGCCAGAGACCAUCUACCUGUAUGGUGUGGAUCACAGAACUGUGGAGAACUGAAUUGAAGAUUUGGAAAAAUGAGAAACUGAAAUAUUUUAAAAACUGGUGUGGAAAUGGUACAGAAUGAACAUAUGUGAAAGUGACCCACAGAAUAGAAAUAGACUGAUGUAUCCACCUUUAGUGAAGAAUAACAAAUAUAGUUUUGAUUCCAUGAAGAUAAAGAUCCAGCAGUCAAUUAAGAGAAAACUCACUUGAACCAAGUGUUGAGAGUACUGUGAUCAAACUGAAAUAAAAAUGAAGAGUGAUGGGUAUUUUAUACCCAACUCCAUUCCUGUCUGUUCAGAAGGGAUGAACAGACCAACACACACUGCACACAGGACACCACUUGUGCAAGUCUCCAGGUUUUGAAACUAAGGGCCCUGUGAUGUUCCUGAUUUGCAAUGUAAAUAUGAAUACAAGACCAGAGUACAACCCAGAAAGAGCCUAAUUCAGUACCUGAAAUGUAACUGGCUUUAAGGAAGAAGGGAGCAUGGACCAAUGAUGGAGGAAUGCCUGUGGACUGCCUACACUGGAAGAUCUGCAGCAAUGCAUCUGAGCAAAGGAACUAUAAUGCAAUUGACAAUUGAUACAGCGAAGCUUAUCGGUUUUUCAGUGGUAUGCCAAAUGUGGAUUUAUCAAUGUGGAAAUUCAUAAUAGCAUGCAAAAUCAUAUUGACAACAGUGAAUUAAUGAGGACACAAGGGAAUUACAUUGCAGAUUAUACAGUGGUAUGGAUGGGCCCUAAGAGACAGCUGCUAAAUGUAUCAAACUCAACAGGUGUUUUUAUCUGGAGUCAAUGUGGGGGCAGAGUGCUCUUUUUUAUUAUGAUGAUGUAUCUACUUCGCAACAGU